AGGCAUGUUUAAAGAACAGUGAUUGGAAACCAUAUUGACAGGUGGGAUUGAACAGACUACAUCUGCUGCUUAUGUAUUUCCUGAGGGACAAAUAAAAAGAAGAGCCUACCUUGUGCCAACAGUUGGUCGCUUAUGUCUCCUUAAACUAAAUAUUUCUUUACAUCUGUCCACUUAACCUAAUGGUCAUAGCAGCAUGAUAACCUUGGUCAGACAAAAAUUGUACUCGCGCACACUGCAUGUGACUUAACAACACUGAUGGCUGGUGAUUCCUUUUCUACUGCCUCUUACUAAUAGUGAAGACUGAAAGAAUGCUUUUUGCAAGGGGCCCCCAAAAAAUACUGGAUGCCUGUCAUGAAAAAUACCCAAAAGGAGGCCAUAUUCUGAAAAAAAUGAUGAAAUCAAGUCACAGAUUAACAUAGACAUUUCUUAGAGAUUUAUAGGAAAAUACAAGUAAAUACAGACGCUUUUAAUCAAAGCACUUUAUGUGGUGCUGCAACUACACAGACUUUUAUUAAACUUGUAGUUUAAGAAGUAUUGCUCAAAUACCUACAGAAGAGAGUAAAGAAUCUCUGCUCCUGUUGUGAAACAAGUGCAACUGUAUUCUCUACAUUCUUGUUCAAUUUCAUCACUAGCUACAACUUUUAUUUAUUUCGGAAUCCAAUGUUUUAACAUUCCAUGUUGUAUAAUUUAAAGCAGUCUUGGGAUAUUUCUUCUAAUGGCUGUAAAGCAGCAGUACAACCAGAGAACACGAGGAAACACUGAAUCAUGCUAAAGCUGUUUCUUGGAGUAUUUUAAGGGUCCAUAUACUGCAUAAAAGUAAACAUUCCAAGACUGGAACAGUAUUAAAAAAAACAUUUGACAUGUGGUUGGAUUUUGCAUUUCACUGUUAGACUGGUUUGUGUUCUCUACAACCUUAUGAGAUUUAAGAAGUAAACUGUCAGACAUUGUUAUGACUUCAUAUAAACAAUAACUUUGCAAGAAAUAACGUAAAGUGUCGUCCCUGCAGCA
Molecule: long non-coding RNA, 1008 nt
Organism: Protopterus annectens (West African lungfish)
Lineage: Eukaryota; Metazoa; Chordata; Ceratodontiformes; Protopteridae
Exons: 3
Source: RefSeq, a predicted model, not a curated record